This 436-nucleotide ribosomal RNA is filed under the name uncultured soil bacterium. Its description in RNAcentral is "bacterial SSU rRNA". It matches the Rfam family "Bacterial small subunit ribosomal RNA", at positions 42 to 524 of the family's 1533-position model. The record is from RNAcentral.
UCAGGCCUAACACAUGCAAGUCGAACGAACUCUUCGGAGUUAGUGGCGGACGGGUGAGUAACACGUGGGAACGUGCCUUUAGGUUCGGAAUAACUCAGGGAAACUUGUGCUAAUACCGAAUGUGCCCUUCGGGGGAAAGAUUUAUCGCCUUUAGAGCGGCCCGCGUCUGAUUAGCUAGUUGGUGAGGUAAAGGCUCACCAAGGCGACGAUCAGUAGCUGGUCUGAGAGGAUGAUCAGCCACAUUGGGACUGAGACACGGCCCAAACUCCUACGGGAGGCAGCAGUGGGGAAUCUUGCGCAAUGGGCGAAAGCCUGACGCAGCCAUGCCGCGUGAAUGAUGAAGGUCUUAGGAUUGUAAAAUUCUUUCACCGGGGACGAUAAUGACGGUACCCGGAGAAGAAGCCCCGGCUAACUUCGUGCCAGCAGCCGCGGUAAU